UGUGGCUCAAUGGUGGAGCGCUUGCCUAGCAUGUGUGAGGUCCUGGGUUCAAAUCCCAGUA
RNAcentral lists this transfer RNA (61 nucleotides) under Ictidomys tridecemlineatus (thirteen-lined ground squirrel). RNAcentral's name for it is "Spermophilus tridecemlineatus (thirteen-lined ground squirrel) tRNA". It matches the Rfam family "tRNA", at positions 6 to 65 of the family's 71-position model. Rfam says of the family: Transfer RNA (tRNA) molecules are approximately 80 nucleotides in length. Their secondary structure includes four short double-helical elements and three loops (D, anti-codon, and T loops). Further hydrogen bonds mediate the characteristic L-shaped molecular structure. tRNAs have two regions of fundamental functional importance: the anti-codon, which is responsible for specific mRNA codon recognition, and the 3' end, to which the tRNAs corresponding amino acid is attached (by aminoacyl-tRNA synthetases). tRNAs cope with the degeneracy of the genetic code in two manners: having more than one tRNA (with a specific anti-codon) for a particular amino acid; and 'wobble' base-pairing, i.e. permitting non-standard base-pairing at the 3rd anti-codon position. The record is from Rfam by way of RNAcentral. Lineage: Eukaryota; Metazoa; Chordata; Mammalia; Rodentia; Sciuridae.